This 61-nucleotide transfer RNA is filed under the name Euparatettix bimaculatus. Its description in RNAcentral is "tRNA-Arg". Lineage: Eukaryota; Metazoa; Arthropoda; Insecta; Orthoptera; Tetrigidae. The record is from RNAcentral.
UAAUAAGAAGCUAUUAGCACUCAGUUUCGACCUGAAAGACAGGUAAGUUUACCCUUAUUAU